RNAcentral lists this ribosomal RNA (301 nucleotides) under uncultured bacterium. Its description in RNAcentral is "partial 16S ribosomal RNA". It matches the Rfam family "Bacterial small subunit ribosomal RNA", at positions 509 to 807 of the family's 1533-position model. The record is from RNAcentral.
CAGUCGCCGCGGGAAUACGUAGGGUGCAAGCGUUAAUCGGAAUUACUGGGCGUAAAGCGUGCGCAGGCGGUUUUGUAAGACAGAGGUGAAAUCCCCGGGCUCAACCUGGGAACUGCCUUUGUGACUGCAAGGCUGGAGUGCGGCAGAGGGGGAUGGAAUUCCGCGUGUAGCAGUGAAAUGCGUAGAUAUGCGGAGGAACACCGAUGGCGAAGGCAAUCCCCUGGGCCUGCACUGACGCUCAUGCACGAAAGCGUGGGGAGCAAACAGGAUUAGAUACCCGUGUAGUCCCUGUCUCUUAUAC